GUAGUCAUAUGCUUGUCUCAAAGAUUAAGCCAUGCAUGUCUAAGUAUAAGCAAUUAUACAGCGAAACUGCGAAUGGCUCAUUAAAUCAGUUAUCGUUUAUUUGAUAGUACCUUACUACUUGGAUAACCGUGGUAAUUCUAGAGCUAAUACAUGCUAAAAACCCCGACUCACGAAGGGGUGUAUUUAUUAGAUUAAAAACCAAUGCCCUUCGGGGCUCUUUGGUGAUUCAUAAUAACUUUUCGAAUCGCAUGGCCUUGCGCCGGCGAUGGUUCAUUCAAAUUUCUGCCCUAUCAACUUUCGAUGGCAGGGUCUUGGCCUGCCAUGGUUACAACGGGUAACGGGGAAUGGGGCGGGGGCGGCGGGCCGGGCGCGGGGCGCGGCGGGCG
This 386-nucleotide ribosomal RNA is filed under the name Xylariales sp. H15. RNAcentral describes it as "bacterial SSU rRNA". It matches the Rfam family "Eukaryotic small subunit ribosomal RNA", at positions 20 to 375 of the family's 1831-position model. Lineage: Eukaryota; Fungi; Ascomycota; Sordariomycetes; Xylariales. The record is from RNAcentral.